GAUCAUGGCUCAGGAUGAACGCUGGCGGCGUGCUUAACACAUGCAAGUCGAACGAAGCACUCUAUUUGAUUUUCUUCGGAAAUGAAGAUUUUGUGACUGAGUGGCGGACGGGUGAGUAACGCGUGGGUAACCUGCCUCAUACAGGGGGAUAACAGUUAGAAAUGACUGCUAAUACCGCAUAAGCGCACGGUGUCGCAUGACACAGUGUGAAAAACUCCGGUGGU
RNAcentral lists this ribosomal RNA (224 nucleotides) under uncultured bacterium. Its description in RNAcentral is "partial 16S ribosomal RNA". It matches the Rfam family "Bacterial small subunit ribosomal RNA", at positions 15 to 219 of the family's 1533-position model. The record is from RNAcentral.